UACGUAGGGUGCGAGCGUUGUCCGGAAUUACUGGGCGUAAAGAGCUCGUAGGUGGUUUGUCGCGUUGUUCGUGAAAACUCACAGCUUAACUGUGGGCGUGCGGGCGAUACGGGCAGACUGGAGUACUGCAGGGGAGACUGGAAUUCCUGGUGUAGCGGUGGAAUGCGCAGACAUCAGGAGGAACACCGGUGGCGAAGGCGGAUCUCUGGGCCUUACCUGACGCUCAGGUGCGAAAGCUAGGGGAGCGAACAGG
This 253-nucleotide ribosomal RNA is filed under the name uncultured bacterium. RNAcentral's name for it is "partial 16S ribosomal RNA". It matches the Rfam family "Bacterial small subunit ribosomal RNA", at positions 524 to 776 of the family's 1533-position model. The record is from RNAcentral.